Molecule: ribosomal RNA, 259 nt
Filed under: unidentified marine eubacterium
Lineage: Bacteria
Description: partial 16S ribosomal RNA
Rfam family: Bacterial small subunit ribosomal RNA
Source: RNAcentral
AACCCACAUCCCUAGUUGCCAGCAGUUCGGCUGGGCACUCUAGAGGGACUGCCCUAGAUAAGCGGGAGGAAGGUGUGGAUGACGUCAAGUCCUCAUGGCCUUACGGGUUGGGCUACACACGUGCUACAAUGGUAGUGACAAUGGGUUAAUCCCAAAAAGCUAUCUCAGUUCGGAUUGUCGUCUGCAACUCGACGGCAUGAAGUCGGAAUCGCUAGUAAUCGCGUAACAGCAUGACGCGGUGAAUACGUUCCCGGGCCUU